This 1283-nucleotide ribosomal RNA is filed under the name metagenome. Its description in RNAcentral is "bacterial LSU rRNA". It matches the Rfam family "Bacterial large subunit ribosomal RNA", at positions 1627 to 2925 of the family's 2925-position model. The record is from RNAcentral.
CCGAGAGUUAGGUGACUGUACCACAAACGGACACACGUGGACGAGAUGAGUAUUCUCAGGCGCUCGGGCGAUGAGUUGUUAAGGAACUAGGCAAAUUAACCCCGUAACUUCGGGAGAAGGGGUGCCCAUGCAAAUGGGCCGCAGUGAAUAGCGUCAGGCGACUGUUUAACAAAAACACAGGUCUCUGCUAAGUCGAAAACGAUGUAUAGGGGCUGACGCCUGCCCGGUGCCGGAAGGUUAAAGGGAGUGGUUAGCGCAAGCGAAGCUACGAACUGAAGCCCCGGUGAACGGCGGCCGUAACGAUAACGGUCCUAAGGUAGAAAAUUCCUUGUCGGGUAAGUUCCGACCUGCACGAAUGGCGUAACGAUCUGACGACUGUCUCAACAACUCGCCCGGCGAAUUUGUGGUUCCGGUGAAGACGCCGGAUGCCCGCCACAAGACGGAAAGACCCCGUGCACCUUUACUAUACCCUAUCAGUGAAUUAUGGGUUGGACUGCGCAGGAUAGGUGGGAGGCUUUGAGAUCGGGUUUUUGGACUCGAUGGAGCCAACGGUGAGAUACCACCCUGUGUAAUCUGUGAUUCUAACCUGCUUCCAUGAUCUGGAAGAGGGACACUGGUAGGCGGGUAGUUUGACUGGGGCGGUCGCCUCCUAAAUUGUAACGGAGGCGCUCGAAGCUGCGUUCAGGUGGUUUGGAAAUCCACCGACGAGUGCAAAGGCAUAAACGCGGUUAACUGCGAGACCUACAAGUCAAGCAGGUGGGAAACCAGGACUUAGUGAUCCGGUGGUUCUGUAUGGAAGGGCCAUCGCUCAACGGAUAAAAGGUACGCCGGGGAUAACAGGCUGAUCGGAGUCAAGAGUUCACAUCGACGCUCCGGUUUGGCACCUCGAUGUCGGUUCAUCGCAUCCCGGGGGUGUAGAAGCUCCCAAGGGUUAGGCUGUUCGCCUAUUAAAGCGGUACGUGAACUGGGUUCAGAACGUCGCGAGACAGUUCGGUCCCUAUCUGUGGUGGGCGCAGGAAAUUUGAGGGGGCUUGGCCUUAGUACGAGAGGACCGGGCUGAACGAACCUCUUGUGAUACAGUUGUCACUCCAGUGGCACAGCUGUGUAGCGAAGUUCGGUUAGGAUAAGCGCUGAAUGCAUAUAAGUGCGAAACCUUCCCCAAGAUGAGAUUUCCCAACCGUAAGGUAAUAAGGGCCGUGGAAGACUACCACGUUGAUAGGACGGGUGUGUAAGAGUAGUAAUACUUUGAGCUAACCGUUACUAAUAGCCCGUUCGGCUUGACC